Molecule: ribosomal RNA, 94 nt
Filed under: Enterococcus faecalis
Lineage: Bacteria; Bacillati; Bacillota; Bacilli; Lactobacillales; Enterococcaceae
Description: partial 16S ribosomal RNA
Rfam family: Bacterial small subunit ribosomal RNA
Source: RNAcentral
GCCAGCCGCCUAAGGUGGGAUAGAUGAUUGGGGUGAAGUCGUAACAAGGUAGCCGUAUCGGAAGGUGCGGCUGGAUCACCUCCUUUCUAAGGAA